AGUAACGCGUGGAUAACCUGUCGUAUGCAGGGGGAUACCAACUGGAAACAGUUGCUAAUACCGCAUAAGCGCACAGCACCGCAUGGUGCAGUGUGAAAAGAUUUAUCGGCAUACGAUGGAUCCGCGUCCGAUUAGCCAGUUGGCGGGGUAGAAGCCCACCAAAGCGACGAUCGGUAGCCGGCCUGAGAGGGCGGACGGCCACAUUGGGACUGAGACACGGCCCAAACUCCUACGGGAGGCAGCAG
RNAcentral lists this ribosomal RNA (245 nucleotides) under uncultured bacterium. RNAcentral describes it as "partial 16S ribosomal RNA". It matches the Rfam family "Bacterial small subunit ribosomal RNA", at positions 109 to 354 of the family's 1533-position model. The record is from RNAcentral.